Molecule: unclassified non-coding RNA, 8469 nt
Filed under: Cotesia glomerata
Lineage: Eukaryota; Metazoa; Arthropoda; Insecta; Hymenoptera; Braconidae
Description: uncharacterized LOC123261614, transcript variant X2
Source: RNAcentral
AAAUUUAGUAAAUAAAGAUGGCGGCAAAGACGAAGUCGUGUUGUAGAUCGCUCUCGUUGAUAAUUUCAAUAAAAUGAUAUUAAAAGGUGUAAAAAAAUUAUAAAUUACCCUUAAAACACGGGUGUCGGAUACCUGCUGUUUAUUAUUUAUUUAAAUAAAGAGUACUUUCAGUGUAAAUACUGUGAUUUUAUAAAUAUAUAUCGGGUGUACCAUAUAUUUAGUGGUCUGAAGAAAAAAAGGCAUCUCGGGUAGAGUGAGGAAAAAAAUAAAAUAAAAUUUAUAAAAAGAAGAGAACGAGAGAGAUAGAAGAGGAAGAAACGAGCAACUAAGACGAAUAAGAAAAUAAUUUAGCUCCAGAGUUCACGAUAGAAGAAAGUAAUAAAAUAUUUAAAAAUGGUUGUCGGAGAGCCAAGUAUCCACAAUAUUAUGAGUGGGAUGGAGAGUACAGGAGGUGUACGACUGCACAAUCACAAACGGAAAUUGAAACAAAGGUUUGAUAUUAUCAAGAAACUGGGUCAAGGUACCUACGGGAAAGUACAAUUGGGAAUAAACAAAGAGACUGGACAAGAGGUAGCUAUUAAAACAAUUAAAAAAUGCAAAAUUGAAACAGAAGCUGAUCUGAUAAGGAUAAGACGUGAAAUUCAAAUUAUGUCGAGUGUUCAGCACCCAAACAUUAUUCACAUUUACGAAGUAUUUGAGAAUCGUGAGAAGAUGGUACUUGUAAUGGAGUAUGCAGCAGGUGGUGAGCUUUACGACUACCUAAGUGAACGUAAAGUGCUCUCUGAGGAAGAAGCCCGUCGGAUAUUCCGUCAAAUUUCAAUAGCGGUGUUCUAUUGUCAUAAACAUAAAAUUUGUCACCGUGAUUUAAAGUUAGAAAAUAUUCUAUUGGAUCAUUUGGGGAAUGCUAAAAUUGCAGACUUUGGUUUGUCGAAUGUUUUUGAUGAACAACGACUGUUGAAUACUUUUUGCGGUAGCCCUCUUUACGCUAGUCCUGAGAUAGUUAAAGGUACACCGUACCACGGUCCAGAAGUUGACUGCUGGAGUCUCGGUGUUUUACUUUACACGCUAGUCUACGGUGCUAUGCCGUUUGAUGGUUCUAAUUUCAAAAGACUUACAAGACAAAUAUCUGCAUCUGAUUAUUUUGAGCCGAAAAAUCCAUCACCAGCUUCACCUUUAAUCAGAGAUAUGUUAACUAAGUGUCCUGCUAGGAGGGCUGAUAUUGAAAGGAUAUGCUGUCAUUGGUGGGUUAAUGAGGGAUAUGAGCAAAAUUGUCUUGAUAUUGCUGAAGAUUUAGCCGCCCAGACGCCAGUUAGACUCGAUUUAUUGCUAUCCUUGGUACCGCAAUCGGCUAGCGCUGACAAAUUAGUCGUCACGAAUGAUCAAUCGCCUGAGACUGGUAGAAAUAUCGGCACGGACACGAUACCGCCUACUCGGUGUCUUUCUGUUGGCAGCCUCAUGGAUCUCGAUAGAAAUAAUUCGGAUCGGAUUCGAGAGAUGGUGGCUGAAGAGGAAUCUCCGAGGACAAAUGCUAAUGACACUAAGAGGAAAUUGGAGAACACGCCUUCAAUGGAAGAAAAUGUUGAAGCAGGUGUUAAGAAGAAAGAUCGGUCGAGAAGAAAAGAACGGACUGAUGAUAGAGAGCCAAGAUCUUAUAAGUCUACUUCAAGACAUCAUUCCGCUCCCAUAACUAAUGCUAUUACUGAAGAGGCUAUGGAAGUUGAACCCAGUGUUGAGUUGGAUCUUCGAGACCCGGCUGCUGCUGCUGCUUGUUUAGAACUUAUUCGUGAAGCUCAGUCGAAGUCGCCGAGCAAGGAACGAAGUAGAACUCCUGUUCCGUUGGAAGAAAAAGUUCAAACGAGUGAGCAACAAGUUUUUAAGGAAAAUUUCAAUGAUAGUAAUCAAGAUGUUAAGCCAAUUGCUAAUAAAUUGGAUAAUGUAGCGGAUAAUUCUGGAGAAAAACAAUCUGUUGAUCAGGUAAUAAAUAAAACUCAGGUUAAAAAUAAGUCAGUAAAAUCUAAAACUAAUGAUGUAGUGAAGAAUAUUAAUGAUAAUGCUUCCAAACAAGAUGUGCCAAGUAAAGACACUGAAUUAACACAGAAAAUAAAUUCAGAAGGUGGUGAAAAAAUUUCUACUCCUACGGAGGAAAAAGCUGAGAUGAAGAAUGAGAAUAAAAAAUUGAAACAAAAAGCACAGUCACUUGAUGAAGAAGCGGUUGCUCCGACUAAGCCAACGGAAAGGAGACGUUCUAAAAUAUUUGAGACAGCUGAAAAGUUCAAUCAACUUUUGUCAGGCAGUGAAUCAGAAAAACCAAAGAAGAUUUUUAUACCUGGUGUUAACGUAGGUGGUGCUAAGCGAGCAUUUGAGCGUAAAGCGAGUCUCUCUUCCGUUACAGUUCCACAGCCCGUUAAGUCAAAUGCGUCUAAGGUAAUAAUAGAUGUGCCUAAUGAUAAAAAUGAUAAAAAAAAUGACAAGGAAGAAAAAUUAACGACUGUAACCAAGUCAGAGUCUUCCUUGACAAAGAAUGAAGAGGAGCGUCGCCGGGAUGAAGAAAAGAAACGAGCUGUUGAUAUUAUCACUGGUGCCUUAGGUAAACCUCCAGUCCAGAAAAAAGUCAAUGGGUCGCCUCCAAUGACUCCCCAGAGUCAAGAGUCGAAAAAUCUUGGUCUGAAGAUUCAAUUGGGACCAAAUGACUUGAGAAAUGCUACGGUAUCAGUGUCUACUCCCGUAGACACUAAGUAUCCAGACUUUGAAUCUUCUCCAGUGAAACCUGCUGCUGUAGCAAAUUCAGUGCCAACUACUCCCGAGUCAAAGAGUGUCAAUAAUUCGUUCUCCGACGAGCCAACAAUGUCAAGUAAGAUGGAGAUAAAACUCAAGAGUGCGACAUUACCUCGACCGAGAAAGACUAGCAAAGCAGAAAUUACAUUGGCGGGAGUUAAAGCACCUGAGCCAGCAUUCAAGUCGGAAGUUGAGGCCAAGAUCGAUGCUUUCCAUCCUCAAAAAUUGAGGACUCAAAAGUCUGAAGUCGCGUUCCCUGUAGCUGCGGUUACUUCUCAGGCAAACCGAAGCUCCAGCUUGGAGCCUGAAAGCAGUAAAUCAAAGAUUCUCGGAAAGGAGAGAAUAAUACCGAUACACGUGGAGCCAGGUCAUCAAAUUCAGAACUCAGCGACUCCUCCGAAGCCACCGAUGCCCCAGCGGUCCAUGUCUCAGCGCUCGAAUUCGUUAUCGCGUCAGUCUACUGCAGAUUCAGACACUGACAGCGCUCUUGGCUCAACGGUUGGCCCCGAGCCGAUCAGAAAAAGUCCCAGGGAAUAUAUUAUUCCGAUUGCCGUCGAAGGAGGUGGAUAUGUCACUCCAAGAUCUGGCAGUGUAGAGCCCGAGAGUAAAACAAGCACACCAACCAGCACAAAUCCACCACGAGCGAGGUUCGGAAGAGGCAGAAGAAUGGGCUCUUUGCUUUCAGACGCCAGUGAAGACGAGUCGCCAUUCUCUACACUCCAUCGGGACAGCGAUGAUUUACUCCAAAGACACAUGCAUCGGCUAAGAAGUUCAAGACCCUCUAGACAAGCUCCAGAGCAUGCAGACAGUCUGUCAUCCGGUGAGGAUGACGAUGAUGAUGGCUUUGAGCUUUUGACCGCUGAAAAUUUAUUCUCAACGCUUUUGUCGAGAGUUCGUAGUCUGACCCAACGGCUAAAUGUUGAUGAUAAUCGAGGAACUGGAUUUCCUCGCAGCCGAUUGUUGGAUAGACUAGGUUCUAAUUCCUCUCAAGGAUUCUGGGGAAUGUCCGAACCUCUUUCAAGCUACGAGAGCCACGUUGAAACACAGACGAUAACAACGCGAUUGGCAGAGUCACCAUUCAGACGAUCUCUCAGUCGCGAUACAGACCGAUUUGGACGUAAGGAUUCAGCAAUGUCAUCAAAUCCUGGAACACCCACGAGCCUUGGAGCUCGAACUACGCCAUCACAUGAAAGUAUUUUUGAAUUAGGCAGCAGUAAUACUUUACCACGAGAUAAAUCCCACGAGGUCGAACCACCGGAGUCACGAAAAAAGGAUCAAGAGUCUGAUUCGCGUCCCAAUCCCUCAACAAGUAGCACCCGCGAUAGCUUCACUCCAAGUCUUGCGCGUCGCCUCAGCAGACAGUUUAUUGAACAAACAAGACAAUCAUUGCCAAGGUCACCGUCAAUACCGCGCGACCGACUCUACAGGUCUUCGACAGAGGAGCCAGAUUCUUUGUCAUCGCUGCUGCCAGAUCGUUCGAUGUACCGCAGCAAGUCAAGCGAUAGAAGCUUGAGAAGAACUAACAGUUUAUUGGAGAACGAUCGAGGGGAGAGACCUGAGCUUCGAUGCAGGCGUAGCGUCAGUUUAUUCGAAGAUGAUGAUGAUGAGACACUUCCACCGCUUCCUAGGCAAGUUAUGACUCUUGGACGGAAGUACCGAGACACUGUCAAGGCUGCUGUUAAUGGAAUUCGCCGGGAUAAUAUUUGCUUGGCUGAGAAAAUCCAAGAGGAGCCUACUGAUGAGCUGACAUCACCUAAAAAAAAUUCAAUCCAAGUUCCUGAACAAGCUUCACCUUCUGAAGGAACUUCAGUCUGCAAUUCUGCGACUAAUUUAGGAGAUACCACUUCUAGUUUGUCGACUAAGUCACAAGAAACUUCACCGGGAGAUUCUUCAUCAAAUAUCCAGCAGCAAGAAGAAGCUUUGAACUCUUUUCGCGCUGAUGCUAAAGAAUUUGAGUCCCGGCUUCUAGCUGCUGAGAAUUUAAUUAAAGAGUCAAAAUUACGCAACCUGGGACUCAAUAAAUUUGACCCUAAUUUGAGUUCUAGUUACAAAGAAACUGAAAAGUGUGAUAAACAGUUACUGGGGUCUAUGACUGAUUUAACAAGUGGUGUUUUAAAUAAACGACGUAGCUGCAUACCGAGUUUAAGAUUGCGCUCUGGGUCUUUGACUCGAGAAGCUAUGGGUCGCAGGAGCACUUUGACUUCUCCUGAACCGGUUGAUAUUCGCGCUGCAACUCCUGAGAGAUCUUUACUUAGUAAACUUUUCCGCUCUGGAAGUGUGAGUCGUGAGCGAGACUCUGAGAGUAAGGACAAGUCUCCUAAAACUAAGCGAAGGAUUUCAAGAUUUUUGAGGCCUGACUUUUUUGAUACUCCUAGGGAAGAAAGUCAGUAUGUUAAGGAUAAGGAAGCUCAGAAGGCGGCUGAAAAUGAAAGAAGAAAAUCGAGGUUUAUGAAGAGAAAGGAGAAUAAAGAUGUUGAAGAUGUUAAAGAGAAAGAAGAAAAGCCUGAGAAAGAAUUGAAGAAUCAAGCUAAUGAAAUUACGAGGGAUCAAAGUGAUUUGAUUAAUUUUAAUAAGAUGAAUAAUUCUAAUGUUGAUAAUUCAAGCGCGGAUAAAUUAGAAAGACAAAAUUCUAAAAAUAGUUUCUUCCAGACUUUAGAGAAGAAAUUAGAAAAGCUUAGAUCUAAUGAUGAGUCACAAAAGGUGGAAAGUGAGCCUUUGAAGGUACAAAUAGAGGAUGAUUUGCAGAAAAUUAAUGGUGAUGUUAAAGAAGAAAUAAAUAACGUUGUGGAGAAUGUAAGUGAAGAAGUUAUAAAAAAAGUAGCAAGUAUGGAAGAUUUAACGAGUGAGCCGGCUCCUGCGGUGAAAUCAAAAGUUUCAAGUGUGCUGGGGCUUUUUAGAAAUGAUUCUAAGUCUGCAGUCAAUGGGGGAAGACAACAAACUUUGCUGAGCAAGCUGAAGAAAAAUGUUUAUCGCGGGUCACGUUCUGACAGUGUAUUGACUUCUGAAGCUUCUAGUAAAAUUCCCAAGGCUAAAGCUGAAGUUAAAGCUGGAGAAAUCAAGCCUAGGAGAAGUUUAGAGCUCAAAAGAUCGCCUGAGAAAGUUGGGGAUAAAAAAUCUCCUCCGAAGGAUAAGGAGAAGGAUAAGGUUAAGGAAAAAAGUCCGGCUGAGAGAGCUAGUGUAGAGCGAAAGUCGCUUGAGAAGCAAAUAAAGUCUCCGAAGAAAUUGACUCCGGAAAAGUCGAUUGAGAUUGUUAAAACAGAGAAGACAAAUUUACCGGAGAAGGAGGUGAGGAAGUCGAAAUCUCCGGAAAUUAAAGUUGAUAAAACUUUGUCGAGUUCAAAGUUAGCUAAGAAAAUAUCUCCGGAUAAGGUUGUUGAUAAUAAGAAAGUCGAGGGGAAGAGUAUUGAAGCUGAUGAGAAGAAAUUGAAGAAGAAGAGUGUUAAGUCAUUGAGUUCGGCUACGAAAAAUGGGUCAGUUAAAUUGGAGAAAGUUGACAAAGAUGAGGAUAAAAAAUCUGAUAAAGUUAAAAAGGUCGUGAAGAAAGAAGUCAUUGAGAAAGAUGCAGAUGGAACUAAGAAGAAGAAAAUAGUUAGGGUUGUUAAAAAGGUUGUUAAAAAAUCAGAAAGUUCUUCUGAGAAACCUGAAGAAAAGGAAAAAGAUAAAGAGAAGAAAACUUUGUUGAAAAAAAUUACUUCGAGUGUGAAAAAAGAAACUAGUCCUGAAGCGGAUAAAGGGAAGAAAAUGGAAAAUAUUGAUUCAGGAUUGAUAAAUUGUGAAACUUCUUCAAAUUGUCUUGAAAAUCUUUCUAAUAAUAUUAGUUCUGUAAUUCCAAGCGUUAAAGAUCACAGUGAGCAAGAUAAUUCUAAGAUAUCUUCUAAUGAUUUAAAUCCAAACAUUUCUAACAAUUUAGAUGGGAAGAUACCCGUUAAUAACAUAGAUAGCAAAAUAAUUAGCAAAAACUUUGAUACAAAGUCGCUUAACAAAGAUUUAGACCUAAAUAGAUGCGAAGAAAAUACAAAAGUAAUUGAGAAAAGUCCUGAUUUAAAAGUUUCUAGCAAAGAUUUGGAUACAAAAAUAUUUUCUAAUGAUCAGGAUACAAAAAUAAUAAGUCAGGAUUGUAAUAUUAAGACACCUAGUGAAGUUUUGAAUAUAAAUAUUCCUAGUAAUGGCUUGGAUGUGAUAAUAUCUAGUAAUAAUUUGGAAGAAGAAAUGCUAAAUAAUGAUUUAGUAAAAAAAAUUUCUAAUGAUCAGGAAGAAAUUAAAGAUUUGGAUAGCAAAGCACGAGCAAAUAGAAGUAAUUUGAAGCUGGAUUUAUCUAAAAUACCUCAACAUUCAUUUAAAAAUGGCGCUGCAAAAAAGGACAUCAAGGAUCCUGAAUUUUCAGAAAAACCAGAUAAUUCUUUGAAGAUUCAGUCUAUUGUAGCGAAAGAAAAAGUUGUUACUGAAAAGCCACCUAAAGGAGCAGAUUUUGUUCGCCAGCUGAGUUCCAUUCGGCCUGAAGAAGACCCUAAGGUGGCUUUGAAGCCUGAGACUGAAAGAACAAAGCAAGAAAAUUCAAUUACAUCAACUUAUCCAACUGAAGACAUUUUGUCGCCGAUGGACGACGUGGAGAGCUUUGACUCCUGGUCAAUCUGUUCCAACGACAUGAAUCACCGAAGCAGUUUAGACUUGUGUUCGCCUACUUCGCCGGUUUAUUCUCCGUCAGUUCGCAGCGAGCAUUCAGAGUCAAUAAUUGACCGAAUUCGCAGAAAAAGUUUCUACUCCCGAUUUAACGAGCGGAAACGCAAGAGUUCUUUGUCUGUACCUUCAUCAGGACUUUCGCCGAGUUCAACUCUGCCUCGCAAAUUUAGCUUCCACUCUCGAGAUAGUAAAAAUUUGAGCUACUCCUCGCCUUCGAGAAGAAAUCCGGAGAGGACUCACAGUUUGUACAACGAAGACUUGCCCAGUAUGAGAAAGUCGCCCGUAGAACGCGAUAGGUACUCGGAUGGUGCUUAUCCCAGUGAUUUAAAGUCUCCCGUAGAUCAUUACAAUACUUCUUCUUCUUUGUACUAUGAUCCUCUGAGACGUUAUAGAAUGUCUCCUGGUAAUUCGGCUAAUCGAAAGUACCAGAGCACUGAUUAUGGGCUUGAUAAUGACUUGAAUAUGUACAAAAAUCCUCAGAGCACUUCUUCUUCUUCCUCUUCAACUUUAAAUGAUGUCAGCGACUAUCGCAGUAGUACCCUGAGAAAAUACGGGAAAAAUCAACACAAAACUGCUGAUUAUUAUGAAGAUCUUCUUGCUCCAUCAAGGAUUGACUAUCUUUCAGCCCGAAAAACAUCUCCUUUACCAACAGAAUCACUGGGAAGAAAUGAAAACGGACAUUACAACGGGCAUUUUCAUCAGACAUCAGAUUCUGACAAAUGGAGAUACUCGGAUAAAAUUAGCAGUCCUGAUUCUCCUGAAAACAGUGAUAAAAGUUGCGGAGAUGAUCUUAAGAGUAAUAGUCAAACAAUUGAAGAAUCUAAAGAAUUAUCAGCAGCUUGUCCUGACGCUGAGACAACGACUUAAAGAAGAAAUGAUAAUUUAUAAAACUCGUGCCAAAAAAUCUAAACUAAGGCUUUAAUUGCUUGCUACAUAAAAUUUACGAUAAAUCAAAUGGUGAAAAAAAUCAAAAAGGACAUUUUUUUCUAUGUACUUAAAAGAAGAAACAAAAAA